This 319-nucleotide long non-coding RNA is filed under the name Linum usitatissimum (flax). RNAcentral describes it as "long non-coding RNA (LUSI_LNC004999)". The record is from RNAcentral. Lineage: Eukaryota; Viridiplantae; Streptophyta; Magnoliopsida; Malpighiales; Linaceae.
UUCAGAAUCAUAUGCAGAGUUUCAUGACUUACAUUGUGAAUCUUAUGAAGCAAGAGAAACUUUUUGCGUCUCAGGGAGGUCCUAUAAUCUUGGCUCAGGCGAGUAAAACGAUCACCCAGGAGACAGUAAUUUACAUCAUUAGCAGUUUAUCAUGGCCAGACUUUUGGUUUCUUGUAACUGCAGGUGGAAAAUGAAUAUGGAUUUUAUGAGCAAUAUUAUGGAGAAGGUGGGAAGAAAUAUGCCAUAUGGGCAGCUAAUAUGGCUGUUGCUCAAAAUACCGGUGUUCCUUGGAUAAUGUGCCAGCAAUUUGAUGCUCCUG